AGAGGACUCUAGAAGGACAGCAAA
RNAcentral lists this small nuclear RNA (24 nucleotides) under Arabidopsis thaliana (thale cress). RNAcentral's name for it is "snRNA_18920". Lineage: Eukaryota; Viridiplantae; Streptophyta; Magnoliopsida; Brassicales; Brassicaceae. The record is from RNAcentral.